This 237-nucleotide unclassified non-coding RNA is filed under the name Ascomycota sp. Its description in RNAcentral is "partial contains small subunit ribosomal RNA, internal transcribed spacer 1, and 5.8S ribosomal RNA". The stretch from base 1 to 47 matches the Rfam family "Eukaryotic small subunit ribosomal RNA", at positions 1785 to 1831 of the family's 1831-position model. Lineage: Eukaryota; Fungi; Ascomycota. The record is from RNAcentral.
AAAGUCGUAACAAGGUUUCCGUAGGUGAACCUGCGGAAGGAUCAUUACAGUGUUCCCUGCCCUCACGGGUAGAAACGCCCACCCUUUGUGUAAUAUAUCUUGUUGCUUUGGCAGGCCGCCCUCGGGCACCGGCUUCGGCUGGGCUGCGCCUGCCAGAGGACCCCAAACUCUGAAUGUUAGUGUCGUCUGAGUACUAUAUAAUAGUUAAAACUUUCAACAACGGAUCUCUUGGUUCUG